AAACGACUCUCGGCAACGGAUAUCUCGGCUCUCGCAUCGAUGAAGAACGUAGCGAAAUGCGAUACUUGGUGUGAAUUGCAGAAUCCCGUGAACCAUCGAGUCUUUGAACGCAAGUUGCGCCUGAAGCCAUUAGGCUAAAGGCACGUCUGCCUGGGCGUCACGCA
This 164-nucleotide ribosomal RNA is filed under the name Glandora gastonii. RNAcentral describes it as "5.8S ribosomal RNA". It matches the Rfam family "5.8S ribosomal RNA". From Rfam's summary of the family: 5.8S ribosomal RNA (5.8S rRNA) is a component of the large subunit of the eukaryotic ribosome. It is transcribed by RNA polymerase I as part of the 45S precursor that also contains 18S and 28S rRNA. The record is from RNAcentral. Lineage: Eukaryota; Viridiplantae; Streptophyta; Magnoliopsida; Boraginales; Boraginaceae.